RNAcentral lists this ribosomal RNA (513 nucleotides) under Salmonella enterica subsp. enterica serovar Stanley. Its description in RNAcentral is "partial 23S ribosomal RNA". It matches the Rfam family "Bacterial large subunit ribosomal RNA", at positions 1275 to 1781 of the family's 2925-position model. Lineage: Bacteria; Pseudomonadati; Pseudomonadota; Gammaproteobacteria; Enterobacterales; Enterobacteriaceae. The record is from RNAcentral.
GGAGGUAUCAGAAGUGCGAAUGCUGACAUAAGUAACGAUAAAGCGGGUGAAAAGCCCGCUCGCCGGAAGACCAAGGGUUCCUGUCCAACGUUAAUCGGGGCAGGGUGAGUCGACCCCUAAGGCGAGGCCGAAAGGCGUAGUCGAUGGGAAACGGGUUAAUAUUCCCGUACUUGGUGUUACUGCGAAGGGGGGACGGAGAAGGCUAUGUUGGCCGGGCGACGGUUGUCCCGGUUUAAGCGUGUAGGUGUGUGUUCCAGGUAAAUCCGGUUCACUUUAACACUGAGGCGUGACGACGAGGCACUACGGUGCUGAAGCAACAAAUGCCCUGCUUCCAGGAAAAGCCUCUAAGCAUCAGGUAACAUCAAAUCGUACCCCAAACCGACACAGGUGGUCAGGUAGAGAAUACCAAGGCGCUUGAGAGAACUCGGGUGAAGGAACUAGGCAAAAUGGUGCCGUAACUUCGGGAGAAGGCACGCUGACACGUAGGUGAAGUGAUUUACUCAUGGAGCUGAA